UUCCGUAGGUGAACCUGCGGAAGGAUCAUUAGUGAAUAUAGGACGUCCAACUUAACUUGGAGUCCGAACUCUCACUUUCUAACCCUGUGCACUUGUUUGGGAUAGUAACUCUCGCAAGAGAGCGAACUCCUAUUCACUUAUAAACACAAAGUCUAUGAAUGUAUUAAAUUUUAUAACAAAAUAAAACUUUCAACAACGGAUCUCUUGGCUCUCGCAUCGAUGAAGAACGCAGCGAAAUGCGAUAAGUAAUGUGAAUUGCAGAAUUCAGUGAAUCAUCGAAUCUUUGAACGCACCUUGCGCUCCAUGGUAUUCCGUGGAGCAUGCCUGUUUGAGUGUCAUGAAUACUUCAACCCUCCUCUUUCUUAAUGAUUGAAGAGGUGUUUGGUUUCUGAGCGCUGCUGGCCUUUACGGUCUAGCUCGUUCGUAAUGCAUUAGCAUCCGCAAUCGAACUUCGGAUUGACUUGGCGUAAUAGACUAUUCGCUGAGGAAUUCUAGUCUUCGGAUUAGAGCCGGGUUGGGUUAAAGGAAGCUUCUAAUCAGAAUGUCUACAUUUUAAGAUUAGAUCUCAAAUCAGGUAGGACCUCCCCCCCC
RNAcentral lists this ribosomal RNA (591 nucleotides) under Rhodotorula mucilaginosa. RNAcentral's name for it is "eukaryotic LSU rRNA". The stretch from base 185 to 338 matches the Rfam family "5.8S ribosomal RNA". The record is from RNAcentral. Lineage: Eukaryota; Fungi; Basidiomycota; Microbotryomycetes; Sporidiobolales; Sporidiobolaceae.